RNAcentral lists this ribosomal RNA (483 nucleotides) under uncultured bacterium. Its description in RNAcentral is "partial 16S ribosomal RNA". It matches the Rfam family "Bacterial small subunit ribosomal RNA", at positions 28 to 523 of the family's 1533-position model. The record is from RNAcentral.
GACGAACGCUGGCGGCGUGCUUAACACAUGCAAGUCGAACGGAAAGGCUCCAGCUUGCUAGAGUACUCGAGUGGCGAACGGGUGAGUAACACGAGGGUAUUCUGCCCUGCACUCUGGCAUCAGCCUGGGAAACUGGGUCUAAUACUUGAUAUGACCUUUAUCCGUAUGGGGCUUGGUGGAAAGUUGUUUGGUGUGGGAUGAGCCCGCGGCCUAUCAGCUUGUUGGUGGGGUGAUGGCGUACCAAGGCGACGACGGGUAGCCGGCCUGAGAGGGUGAUCGGCCACAUUGGGACUGGGAUACGGCCCAGACUCCUACGGGAGGCAGCAGUGGGGAAUAUUGCACAAUGGGCGGAAGCCUGAUGCAGCGACGCCGCGGGAGGGAUGACGGCCUUCGGGUUGUAAACCUCUUUCAGCAGGGACGAAGCGUAAGUGACGGUACCUGCAGAAGAAGCACCGGCUAACUACGUGCCAGCCGCCGCAGUAA